CCUACGGGGUGCAGCAGUGAGGAAUAUUGGUCAAUGGACGAGAGUCUGAACCAGCCAAGUAGCGUGAAGGAUGACUGCCCUAUGGGUUGUAAACUUCUUUUAUAUGGGAAUAAAAUGUUCCACGUGUGGGAUUUUGUAUGUACCAUAUGAAUAAGGAUCGGCUAACUCCGUGCCAGCAGCCGCGGUAAUACGGAGGAUCCGAGCGUUAUCCGGAUUUAUUGGGUUUAAAGGGAGCGUAGGUGGAUUGUUAAGUCAGUUGUGAAAGUUUGCGGCUCAACCGUAAAAUUGCAGUUGAAACUGGCAGGCUUGAGUACAGUAGAGGUGGGCGGAAUUCGUGGUGUAGCGGUGAAAUGCUUAGAUAUCACGAAGAACUCCGAUUGCGAAGGCAGCUCACUGGACUGCAACUGACACUGAGGCUCGAAAGUGUGGGUAUCAAACAGGAUUAGAGACCCUGGUAGUC
RNAcentral lists this ribosomal RNA (460 nucleotides) under uncultured bacterium. Its description in RNAcentral is "partial 16S ribosomal RNA". It matches the Rfam family "Bacterial small subunit ribosomal RNA", at positions 338 to 795 of the family's 1533-position model. The record is from RNAcentral.